GACAGAGGGUGCAAACGUUGCUCGGAAUCACUGGGCGUAAAGGGCGUGUAGGCGGGACGGUAAGUCGGGCGUGAAAUCCCUAGGCUCAACCUAGGAACUGCACUCGAAACUACCAUUCCUUGAGUGUCGGAGAGGAAAGCGGAAUUCCUGGUGUAGAGGUGAAAUUCGUAGAUAUCAGGAGGAACACCAGUGGCGAAGGCGGCUUUCUGGACGAUAACUGACGCUGACGACGCGAAAAGCGUGGGGGAGCAAACAGG
This 257-nucleotide ribosomal RNA is filed under the name uncultured bacterium. RNAcentral's name for it is "partial 16S ribosomal RNA". It matches the Rfam family "Bacterial small subunit ribosomal RNA", at positions 524 to 776 of the family's 1533-position model. The record is from RNAcentral.